Scleropages formosus (Asian bonytongue) is the source of this 1746-nucleotide long non-coding RNA. The record is from Ensembl. NCBI's taxonomy places the organism in Eukaryota, Metazoa, Chordata, Actinopteri, Osteoglossiformes, Osteoglossidae.
AUGGCGCAACUGCACAGUGAAAACAUAGUGAAGGAAACAGAAGAGAUCAGAAGGAAGAAGAGAAACAAGAUGAGGAGGCAGAGGGUGGUUGCUGAUAAAAACCAGCAGGUUAAUAUUCACCACAGUGAACAGAAUGAAGUGAAGAAAAAGAAGAAACAUAAAAAUCAGGUAACAGCCAAAGUUACAAAUGGAGGGGAGCCUUCCAGCUUUACAGGUGUCAAAGAUGGAGUGAACAAGAAGAAAGGAGAGCCUGAGACACCCAUGAAAAAGAAGAGAAAAUUGGAAGAGAAUGAUGAAACAAAGCCAAAGAAAAAGAGGCUGUCUGGCGCAGAGUCUGGUGGCCAUACUGGUGCUGAUCAUUCCAAGAUGACAGCUGAAAACUCUGUACACAAUGUGAAAAAGAAUAAAAAAAAGAAAUCGAAGAUUAAUAUGACAGGCUACACUUGUGAGGAAGUAGGAAGUGGGAAAAGUAAGAAUGAAAGUAUGGCUUUGAGGAAAGGAGGUGCCAAGGCUGAGAAAGGGGGAGAACAUGGCACCAAGAAGAGUAGGAAAAAUAAGGGGAAAGCUCUGAUGAACAUCUCCACUGAGACUGUUUGUGCUGAAGAAGGGGCAAAGGCCAAAGAAGGAGCUAGAAGAAACAAGGGUAUGAAGAAGAAGAAGAAAAAGAAGGAGGCUGAAGACAGUGAGGAGAUUAAGGUGGAGGAGAAUAAAAUGAAGAAUGCUGACAUGGGGGUGCUAGAUGUGAGCUCAACCCUGAUGACUAAGAAGGUGGAGAAGAAGAAGAAGAAGAAGUGGAAGGCUGUGGAGGCUGGAGCACAGCAAGCGACAAGGAAAAGUGAAGGAGAGGGGAAGGAAAAAAAGAAGAAAGCUGCAGUUUCAGAAACAAAGCCUGGUGUGGAUAUAAAGAAAGAGAAAACUGAAAAUAGAGAGAGGACUGCAGGAGGGGAAGGAACUUGCAUGAAGAUCCUGACUGGGACAGAGAAGGUGCGGGAAUAUGAUGAGGGCAGCACCAAGAAAAAGAAGAAGGUGAAGAUUGAGAUUUUGGGUGUUUCUGAUGCUGGGAGAGGAAAGGAGAAUGAGGAUGGGUACAAAAGGAAUAAAGGAAUAAAGACAACUGAGGAUGGGAGGAAAAAGAGGAAGAGGAAGGGGGAGAAGGCAGAGGCUAAAGAGGAGAACAUUCGUUUGAAUGAGGCCAUCAAGGAAGAAGAGGGGGGACCGAAGAAGAAAAAGAAAAUGGCGAAAUUGACCGUAAAUGAAGGGCUCCCCAGUGACAAAGAAGUGGUAUCAAUAGAGAAGAAAAGGGAGAAGAAGAGCAGAGUCUUGGAGAAUGGGAACAAAACGAAGAAGGAGAAGGUCAAAAAGAAGGAGCUUGUAGAAGGACAGGAGGUGAUUGCUGCACUGAGGAAUGAUGUGAGCUUUUCGAAGACUGGAAAGGUGAAGAAGAUGAGGAAGAAGCAGUCUGAGGAGGAUGAAGUGGUUCCAGAAAAUGGCACAAGGAAGAACGAGGAAGAAGGAGCCAACAAUUCUGUGCCGCUGACAAAGAAGAAGAAGAAGAAGAAAAGCAAGGAGAAAAAUGGCCAGCAGGACCAAGACCUUAAGAAGAGAAAAAAGCACAAGGGGUACCCUGCAGAGGAGAAGGCGGCAGCAAAGGGGAAGAAAGUCAAGGUGGAGCAGACGGGCUUUGAGUCAGAAGAGGUUAGUUUAACUGAUAUAAUCUGUGAAACUUUGUGUGGCGACUUACAAUAA